GUCGUGAGAUGUUGGGUUAAGUCCCGCAACGAGCGCAACCCUUGUCCCUAGUUGCUACGCAAGGGCACUCUAGGGAGACUGCCGGUGACAAACCGGAGGAAGGUGGGGAUGACGUCAAGUCCUCAUGGCCCUUAUGGGUAGGGCUUCACACGUCAUACAAUGGCCGGUACAGAGGGUUGCCAACCCGCGAGGGGGAGCCAAUCCCAGAAAGCCGGUCGUAGUCCGGAUUGCAGUCUGCAACUCGACUGCAUGAAGUCGGAAUCGCUAGUAAUCGCGGAUCAGCAUGUCGCGGUGAAUACGUUCCCGGGUCUUGUACACACCGCCCGUCACACCAUGGGAGCGGGAUGUACCAGAAGUAGGUAGGCUAACCCGAGGGUAACUGAGGGGGGCCGCUUACCACGGUGCGUUUCGUGACUGGGGUGAAGUCGUAACAAGGUAGCCGUACCGGAAGGUGCGGCUGGAUCACCUCCUUUCUAAGGAGAACAGUUCAAUCGUUGGUAGGCAUUCGUCCUACCCGGUUCGAACCACUCCCAGUUGGUGCAUUGGUGGGUGUGGUCGAAAUGGCAGGUUAAUCGCAGGAUUCGUCCUCUUGACAGGCCGGCUCGACACACUUUGUCUUCUCUUCCGUUUUGAGGGAGCCGACCCAUUCGGGUCGACCGACCUCGGCGAACGGCACGGAGCUCGCGCUCCCGCUGCCCACGGUGUGCCCCGCACGAUCCGACUCUGCCAAUGACGCUUCCAGCAAUGGAGGCACGUCAGGUGGUCGUCGUGUGUUGCGGCCCCGUUCGCUGCCCUUUGAGAACUGCAGAGCAAGCACGAGCAUCUUUGUUCUUCCAAGCUACAAAGAGCCAACGGUGGAUGCCUUGGCGCCAAGAACCGAUGAAGGACGUGAGUGACUGCGAAAAGCUGCGGGUAGCCGUCUACUAGGCCUUGAUCCGCAGAUGU
This 945-nucleotide small RNA is filed under the name uncultured beta proteobacterium. RNAcentral describes it as "bacterial SSU rRNA". The stretch from base 1 to 473 matches the Rfam family "Bacterial small subunit ribosomal RNA", at positions 1064 to 1533 of the family's 1533-position model. The record is from RNAcentral. Lineage: Bacteria; Pseudomonadati; Pseudomonadota; Betaproteobacteria.